UCAAACUUGGUCAUUUAGAGGAAGUAAAAGUCGUAACAAGGUUUCCGUAGGUGAACCUGCGGAAGGAUCAUUAACGUAUCUCCGAGUCCGAGUCCGGCGGCUACCGAGGCGACGCUCCGGCACUCAGCCGUUGCAGCGGGCGCUGGCGCCCCGGCUCGAAACCACAGACCCCACCGUGCUCCUUUGCGGCCGAAGGGAGAUGCCUGGCCGAACUGCCGCAUCUCCCGGAAGCAACGCUCACACACACCAGUUCAAACGAAUGCAAAGCGGACUCUGUUCCGCCCACAAAUUGAAACAACUUUCAACAACGGAUCUCUUGGCUCUCGCAUCGAUGAAGAACGCAGC
RNAcentral lists this unclassified non-coding RNA (345 nucleotides) under uncultured fungus. Its description in RNAcentral is "partial contains small subunit ribosomal RNA, internal transcribed spacer 1, and 5.8S ribosomal RNA". The stretch from base 1 to 73 matches the Rfam family "Eukaryotic small subunit ribosomal RNA", at positions 1759 to 1831 of the family's 1831-position model. Lineage: Eukaryota; Fungi. The record is from RNAcentral.